CUUUGGAUACUAACGGCGGAAAACUCGCACGUGUCCUCGUCAACUUCACGAUUUCACGGCGAGUGUUCCCACGUUAUUUCCAAUU
RNAcentral lists this microRNA precursor (85 nucleotides) under Schmidtea mediterranea. RNAcentral's name for it is "mir-2147 microRNA precursor family". It matches the Rfam family "mir-2147 microRNA precursor family". Lineage: Eukaryota; Metazoa; Platyhelminthes; Tricladida; Dugesiidae. The record is from Rfam by way of RNAcentral.